This 24-nucleotide small RNA is filed under the name Arabidopsis thaliana (thale cress). RNAcentral describes it as "ATSL229890". Lineage: Eukaryota; Viridiplantae; Streptophyta; Magnoliopsida; Brassicales; Brassicaceae. The record is from RNAcentral.
UUUUUUUCUUCUUCUUCUUAUAUU